RNAcentral lists this long non-coding RNA (1129 nucleotides) under Gossypium raimondii (Peruvian cotton). RNAcentral describes it as "long non-coding RNA (GRAI_LNC007683)". Lineage: Eukaryota; Viridiplantae; Streptophyta; Magnoliopsida; Malvales; Malvaceae. The record is from RNAcentral.
CCUUUCUCGUACGUAAUCGACUCCCGAAUCUAUUUUCUCAAAAUUUCGCAGACAAAAUUCAUUUUUAACGGUGAACUGAUCACACCUUAAUAAAAGAUCGGUGGCGACUCCCAACUCCAUUUUUAAAAGUCAAUCCCCGUUUUUUUCAAAUCAAAUAAAAAAUAGUUUCGACAACAGACUUCAGCUUGUCCAUUUGUCUGAGGGUGGUAUGUUGUGAAAAUCUUAUGCUUUACCCCAUAUCUCAUCAAGGCAAUAGCAACUAAUUUGCAACCAAAAUAUCUAAAAAACACCCAAUGAAAAACAUGUAAGGAAACGUGUACAUAUGAAAUUAAAAAGACAAACUUGUUUUAAAGUUGAAAACCAAAAAUUUGACUAAAAUACAAGUAGAGAAGCAUAGAUAUGAAACUAAAAAAGACAUGAGAAGGCAAAGACAAAGUUGAACUCAAGAUUCAUAACUGAAAUAAUUCGCUGAUGAAGAAGAGGAUUUCAUAUUUUUACAGAUCAAAUAAGAAAAAUAAAAAUCUGCAGUUCAUGCUUUGAAGAAAAACAACUAUCUUAACCAAGUUUGAAGGAAAUAAGUAUUCAUAGUGCAUGGCUGUACAAUUUAUUUUAGACCUCCAAAUCACCUUUUCCCCUAAGAAAGUUCUCAUGAUUCCAAUAAAAAAAAUACCCCAAAGAGAAAGACGAAAAAUACCCAUACGACAAAACAUCUCAAAAAACUAAUUGAGGCAAACUACUACAAAAACAAUAAUUAUUAUGAAGGAACAAAAGGGGCAAACCUGGAAGUAGGGAGGGAAGGAAAGUUGUAAAAAGGGGUUAAAAGCAAGGAUAUAUCCCACAUCAAGUUGAAAAGGGUUCUGGUUCUCUGUCACCAUCUUCAGUUAGUGUUGGUAUGUGGUGUUUGCUGCUAAGCUAGGCAGAGAAGCGGGUGGGAGUGUUUUUUUUGGCCCGCGGUUAACCAAAUUUAAAAAAGAAUGAGGAAAAAUUAAAAAGAGGGGGGGGGGAGAAUCAACUGGAGAGUUGCGGAAUGAAGAGAGAGAUAUCAUGAUUUGAGUAUAUAAAAUUAGAUUGAUGGCAACGUUAACAUUUAUGGUAAUUAAAACCUUUUUUAAAUCACUAAUAUUUUUUU